AUGGAGCACCACACCCUGUGUUACUCAGGAUACAUCAGUAUACAUCAACAUCUGUUUUAUAACCUUUUUGAAUCAUCCUUUCUCACACAGGAUUCAGAUUCCAUAAUUCUGUUUUGGAUCAUAUUUUAUCAGCACUUUACAUCAAUUUACCUAAUGGUUUUUAUAGCACCCCCUUGCCAGAUGUCAUCUGGGAGUGUUCCUGGCUCUUCUAGAGACAGCAUGAUGAUCUAUCUCCUUGCUGGUGUUGCUGCUUUUGGUGGUUUAUUUUAUGCCUACAGACUAGUCAGUUCAUCCCACAGCAAGUUUGUUGAACAUUCAAAUAUUCUUCGUGAGAGAACUGAGGGGCAGAAAAGCAAUCCUUGGUCAAGGAACGAAGGUGAUGGAAAAGAGGUGCAUGAAGUCACUGAAGCAGAGGAGGCCAUGGAAGAAGCUGAUGCAGCAGCUGAUGUUGAACAUGCAGCACAGGAUGAGAGUGCUGGACCCAGAGCACAGGAUGAGACUUCUGGGGUAUCCCCAGAAGCUGGAGGGGAGAAUGACUUACUGGCUCCAGAGGUAUCCCUUGCUAUGGAGGAAGCACAGCAGGAAGCUGCUGCUAAUUCAGAAGCUGCUGCUAAUUUGGAACUUGCUGCUAAUUCAGAAGCUGCUGCAGUUCAAGUUUCUGAGGAGGAGAAGACAACUGAAGAAGUUGCUAAAGAGCCCUAAAGUAAGCAGUGUGGACACCUUUGGAAAGUUUAAUUCAAAUAUUUGUGGCAAUCAACCAGCUGGUUCCUGUGUGAAACCUCAUACUCUUCCUUGAAGAUAUAAAAGAAACUGUGCAGUUCGUCCUACCACCCAUUGGCCAUUAUGGCCAGUAUUCAGUGCUGCAAGAGGUGAUUUGCGUUGCCUAGAGAAAUGCUUCUGUGACUAACAACUCUGUUGUAGAGAGUAGCAUCCAGUCAAGCCACUCAGCAUGUCCUAAAUAUAUGUGCUAAGAGAAGCAGUAGAAGACUUAACUAAACCAUGCCAUAUGAACUCCUUCUAUGUCUUUGUUGUCCUGAUAUGUACAUUGAUUCCUUACUUUUGGUCCAAACUGUUGUGUGUACUUAUACCUUUGUAACAUUCCAUGCUAAAAUGUAAACAAAAGGUUUUAAAGUCAAGUCAAAAUAUUACAAAACUACCUGUUAGAGUUUUUAAAUUGGAUCACAGGGAAAAUAACAACAUGUUUGCUCCUGAGUUUGGGUUUGUGAUUGUAAGCCUAGGACAUCUGGCUGCAAAUGACCUAAUUUUCCCCCUGCAUAAACAUUUCAGAUGCUACCAUUCCUUGCACAGUAACAUCCAGGAGUAAACAUUUUAAGGCUCCUGCUUUGGCAAGAAAACCUGUUUGCAGGUAGUAGCCUGUAGCCAUAGGUACUUUAUAAGUGGUGACUGGCUCCUGCCUUGGGUAUGCUGGGCUCUGCUCCUCCCAAAUCUCAUUCAGCUUCCUGUGGUCUUUCUGUGUUGCUCUGUCUUGGCAGUGGCAUAUACUGGUAGUGUAACAACAUGAAAAUUUGGUAGAAACUUUCAAACUGGUACAAAUCACAAGCCCUUUAGGCCAUGGCAAAGCCUGUCUCUAACUACUUGCACACAGAGAGCAAAAUCCCUGUGAAGGGCUAUGCAACAGGUGUUCAAAUGGACAGGCAUUCUUAGGGACUAAGAAAUAACUAAAUAGCUAAAUAGCCUUGUUUUCUAAGUAUUAGCUUCAUAAAAAAUACAUUUAUUAUGAAUAACAGGUUUGGAUGCCACCGUGCUCCUAACCCUCAUGUGCUACAUGCAUGAGCGUGCAUCUGAGACCCCAUUUCAGCCAUCACAGAAUGGCAAUGAUUCAAAACCAGAGCCAAAUAAGGUAUAUUAUGUACUAUUUAUAUAGAAAGUGUGUUGCAUAAUGUGUGUCUGACUCUUUUCAAGAAGAAGUUUGGAAAAUGUUGAAAGGGAAAUGACAGCAUUAUGACAUUCCUACUCGCGGCACAAAGCAACACAUGCUCCUUCCCCCAUCAUAAAGCAAAUUAUAAUAGUGUUCCAACAAAGAUAUAGCCUGUUGCUCCUGUACCUACUUAGGAAUAACUGGAAUAAUGCAGAGGCAAAAGCAGGCUCCUGAGCUUCAAGAAGACAAACUACAGCCUUCUGCUUAAAGGAUAAAGCCUCUGUGAUUAAAAGCAAUUUUUGUAGACCAAGCUACUGGAAUAAAAAUCUUAGACUGAUAUUUUGUUGGAUAAGA
This 2233-nucleotide long non-coding RNA is filed under the name Chloebia gouldiae (Gouldian finch). Its description in RNAcentral is "Erythrura gouldiae (Gouldian finch) lncRNA (ENSEGOG00005019306.1)". The record is from RNAcentral. Lineage: Eukaryota; Metazoa; Chordata; Aves; Passeriformes; Passeridae.